Molecule: long non-coding RNA, 3337 nt
Organism: Caretta caretta (loggerhead turtle)
Lineage: Eukaryota; Metazoa; Chordata; Testudines; Cheloniidae
Source: RefSeq, a predicted model, not a curated record
GUUGGUGACUGCUACAGACCACCACAUCACACUAGGGGAGCGGGAUGACGGACUUCUUAUUCACCUAUCUAUAAUGUGUAGGAAGAAAACCUACACGAUCAUGGGUGACUCCAAUUUGAGUGAUAUAUGCUGGAGGUCUCAUGCUGCCAGUACUAAACCAUCCUUGGAAUGUUAUCAUCUAAAUAUUAUAGAUGAUGGUUUCCUAACAAAAAACGUUACAUCAAACACUGGGGAAUUCUAUAUUAGACCUCAUCUUGACAGACUAGGAACAGAUCACAGAACUAAAAAUUAAUGGUAGCUCAGGUACAAGUGAUCAUGAAUUGAUUACAUUUAUAAUGUGCAAACAGAACAAAGUUCAGACCAGUAAUAUAUAGACACACUUGGUCCUUUAAAAGGGCUGAUUUCCCACAGCUGAAAACAAUGAUGAGCCAAAUCAGCUGGGAGCAAGAAUGUAAUGAGGAAAAUGUACAUGAUAAUUGGGAAUUGUUUAAGAACACUUUGCUAGAUGCCCAAAAGCUACAAUAUCACAAUCAAGGAAGAAGGCCAUAUUGGCUAAAAAAAAAAUGACUUGGUUCAGUGGGGAAGUGAAGACAGCUAUAUAAAAAUAUUUAUACAUUUAACAAAUGGAAGAAAGGGGAAGUUGAUAGUAUGAAUAUAAAUCAGAAGCUAAGAACUGUAGAAAAUUGAUAAGGGUAGCAAAGGGACACAAGAAGAAUUUUUCUGACCAGCAGAGUUAAGGACAAUAAGAAGGAGUUUUUAAGUAUAUUAUGAACAAAAGAAUCCUAAUAAUGGUAUUGAUUAAUUACUGGAUGGAACUGGUAGAAUUAUCAGUGAUAAUGCAGAAAAGGUAGAAGUGUUCAAUAAAUGUUUCUGUUCUAUAUUUGGGGGGGAAAAACUGAUGAUGUAGUCUUAUCAUAUGAUAAAACUCUUUCCAUUCCACUCAUGUCUCAGAAAGAUGUUAAACAGCAGCUGCUAAAGUUAGACUUUUUUAAAUCAGCAGGUCCAGAUAACUUGCAUCCAAGAGUUUUAAAAGAGCUGCCUGAGGAUUUGAUGUACCAUUAAUGUUGAUUUUCAAUAAGUUUUAGAAGACUGGGGAAGUUCCAGAAAACUGGAAGAGAAAGGAUAAUCAGCUGAACAAGAGCUAUCGGUGUGAUGCUGUGGCCAAAAGGGCUCAUAAGGGGCAAGGCUGGGCAGAAAGGCAAACCUAUCCUGAGGACCCUUGAACAAGGAUGCCAAAGAAGCCUCACUGUGAGGAAGAAGACUGCUGAUCAUAGUUGGGGCUGAAGGUUUAGUUGUCUUCUCUUUUCUUAUGCUAUCUUAUAUUGGACUUAAAGACUUUGCGGGAGACAGAUGGUAAGAACUGAUCCACAGAGGCAGCUCUGAAGCACUCUAGAGUGCCUAAUAUUAUUGACCCUCGGAGGGCCCUAGUUCAGAGCCCGGUGGAGUGGGAUGGCCCAGGCUCCCCUACUACUGUCCUUGUUGCAAGAGGGGCAUAAAACCUCAUUUUCGCUCCACCGCCCCCUCUAGUAAGGAGAGGGUAAGAACACUGAAAAUGCUGAGGUGAGGAUAAGCCACAUAUAAGUGUUAGGAACUAGAAGGAAGGUCCUUCCUGCUGGGAGGUGAGAAACUGAAAACCAGGUAUGCUAACCCUAGGCCACCUAGCCCUCCAACUACUCUACUACAGACGCAUAAAUGGGGGGAAUCUCAAGUAGGAGUAGAGAGGUCAUUUUACCACUGUAUUUGGCACUGGUGCAGCUGCUGCUGGAAUACUCUGUCCAGUUCUGGUGUCCACAAGUCAAGAAGGAUGUUGAUAAAUGAUUUAAGGAUUAGAAUACAUUCCUUAUAGUGAUAGACUCAAGGAGAUCUAUCUAUUUAGCUUAACAAAGAGAAGUUUAAGGGGUGAUUUGAUUACAAUCUGUAAGAAACUAUAUGGGGAACAAAUACUUGACAGUGGUCUCUUAAAUCUAGCAGAGAUGGGUAUAACAUGAGAGUAUGGCUGGAAAUUGAAGCUAGACAAAUUCAAACUGGAAAUAAGGCAUACAUUUUUAACAGUGAGGGCAAUUAACCCUUGGAACAGUUUGCCAAAGGUCAUGGUGGAUUUUCCAUUACUGGCAAUUUUUAAAUCAAGAUUGCAUGUUUUUGUAAAAGAAAUGCUCUCAGAAUUGUUUCAGGGAAGUUCUAUGUCCCAUGUUAUACCUGAGGCCUGUGUUAUACAUAAGAUUUUCCCUUCUGGCCUUGUAAUAUAUGAAUCUGUGAAAAUAAAAAGUCUGACCACGCUAGAACUGAAAGUAAAUCAGUCUGUUGCCAGUUCUUCUUUCCACCAUCAUUCAUUUUCUAGCCAAGGCUAAAAGAAGAAAAUUGAACUACUAUGGAUUGUUCUUAAUGCGUAACGGCCCAUUUUUGCAAGGUGCUCUGCAUCUGCACUCUCAACUCCCAUUGAAAUUGAUGGGUGCUCAUCACUUCUCGAGAUUAAAUCCUAAAUAUUCACACCACAAAUCCCUCAUAGACAAUUAUAUUUUUAAAAAUAUGUGACAAUUUGAAUUUGAAAGGGAAUGCAAUCAAAAUAUAUAGUAAAUGGAAAGCAUAUUUAUAGGUUUGAGCAAAAAGUCAUAGCAGCUGCAUUCUAUAAUCAUUAGUGUGGUACUGGAUAAGAAUAGCAUACCCACCCCUUCCAGAAUUUAUUAUUGUUUUUAAGGAACACAAUUUCUUUGACUUAAAGUGUGGGGGGAGACACAAACAGUUUGAUUCUACUUGCCUUCAGGGUGUCUGACUUUGUUUUCAUCACUAGUUGAAGGAUUUAAACACUGUGUUACCAAAAAGUAUUAACAAUGGUAAUUCUCAUCCCAGGAGGCACUGGGAAACUAUUCAAUGCUGUUCAAUCUUUUUAUAAAAAAAAAGUAAUAUAUUUUUUUUAGUCCUUUCUUCCAAGGCUGCUGCAUUUUCAAAUACUCCUUUCCCCCAAGAACUGAGGACAGGCUCAAUAUAAAUGAUGCUAUAUACAAGUCUCUGUUAUUGGGAAAAAAUGUUAGGAUUAUGCUUUGUGUUGUUUUAUUUGUGGUUUUAGUUAGCCAAAAAGUGUUACUGUUUAAAAAUGGAGUGUAUUGUUGGCUGUGUUGCUGAGCCAAAUCAUCGUUGCCUUACUUAUAAGUACUCUCAUUAAAAUCAGAGGGGCUUCUCAUGUGUGUAUAUUGGCCACCGUAAAAAGGGGAAUUACCCCAUUUGUCCAUAUGUAUUACUUUUGAUUGUCUUAUUAUUUGAAUCUUUUGUGUGAAAAACUAACACAAACUGCACAAAAUAAUGUAUUUUUAAAACUUGACAUUAAAUAUAAAUAACCCUG